GUGGCUCAGUGGUAGAGUGCUUGCCUUGCAAGCUUGAGGCCCUGGGUUCGAUUCCUCAGC
This 60-nucleotide transfer RNA is filed under the name Dipodomys ordii (Ord's kangaroo rat). It matches the Rfam family "tRNA", at positions 7 to 64 of the family's 71-position model. From Rfam's summary of the family: Transfer RNA (tRNA) molecules are approximately 80 nucleotides in length. Their secondary structure includes four short double-helical elements and three loops (D, anti-codon, and T loops). Further hydrogen bonds mediate the characteristic L-shaped molecular structure. tRNAs have two regions of fundamental functional importance: the anti-codon, which is responsible for specific mRNA codon recognition, and the 3' end, to which the tRNAs corresponding amino acid is attached (by aminoacyl-tRNA synthetases). tRNAs cope with the degeneracy of the genetic code in two manners: having more than one tRNA (with a specific anti-codon) for a particular amino acid; and 'wobble' base-pairing, i.e. permitting non-standard base-pairing at the 3rd anti-codon position. Lineage: Eukaryota; Metazoa; Chordata; Mammalia; Rodentia; Heteromyidae. The record is from Rfam by way of RNAcentral.